This 204-nucleotide long non-coding RNA is filed under the name Mytilus galloprovincialis (Mediterranean mussel). The record is from RNAcentral. Lineage: Eukaryota; Metazoa; Mollusca; Bivalvia; Mytilida; Mytilidae.
CUAAAUAUCAAGGCAGUAUUCACUGUUUUCAAAUAUGUAUAUGUUGUCGACUACUGUAUUGUUCUUACAUUCUAAAAUGUGCAAGUACAUGUACACUCUACUCCUAGGUGAUUGAUAGCUAUUAUUACACCCAUAUUAUGCACGCCAACCAAAGUCAGGGCUGUUGCUGAUUUGGAGUAGUCUUUAAUAAAUCUGUUAUAUUUU